Molecule: ribosomal RNA, 229 nt
Filed under: uncultured bacterium
Lineage: Bacteria
Description: partial 16S ribosomal RNA
Rfam family: Bacterial small subunit ribosomal RNA
Source: RNAcentral
UGCGUAGGCGGCCCGGCAAGUUGGGUGUGAAAUCCCUCGGCUCAACCGAGGAAUUGCGCCCAAAACUGCCGGACUCGAGGGAGACAGAGGUGAGCGGAACUUGCGGUGGAGCGGUGAAAUGCGUUGAUAUCGCAAGGAACACCAGUGGCGAAAGCGGCUCACUGGGUCUCUUCUGACGCUGAGGCACGAAAGCUAGGGGAGCGAACAGGAUUAGAUACCCUGGUAGUCC